Molecule: ribosomal RNA, 478 nt
Filed under: uncultured organism
Description: partial 16S ribosomal RNA
Rfam family: Bacterial small subunit ribosomal RNA
Source: RNAcentral
GUACACUCCUACGGGAGGCAGCAGUGGGGAAUUUUGGACAAUGGGCGAAAGCCUGAUCCAGCAAUGCCGCGUGCAGGAUGAAGGCCUUCGGGUUGUAAACUGCUUUUGUACGGAACGAAAAAGCUCCUUCUAAUACAGGGGGCCCAUGACGGUACCGUAAGAAUAAGCACCGGCUCACUACGUGCCAGCAGCCGCGGUAAUACGUAGGGUGCGAGCGUUAAUCGGAAUUACUGGGCGUAAAGCGUGCGCAGGCGGUUAUGUAAGACAGAUGUGAAAUCCCCGGGCUCAACCUGGGAACUGCAUUUGUGACUGCAUGGCUAGAGUACGGUAGAGGGGGAUGGAAUUCCGCGUGUAGCAGUGAAAUGCGUAGAUAUGCGGAGGAACACCGAUGGCGAAGGCAAUCCCCUGGACCUGUACUGACGCUCAUGCACGAAAGCGUGGGGAGCAAACAGGAUUAGAUACCCGGGUAGUCCCAUGA